GGGAGAGUGUUGGAACUGGUAUUCAUCAACGGCUCAAACCCGUUGGCCUUCGGGAUUGAGGGUUCGACUCCCUCCUCUCCUACCA
This 85-nucleotide transfer RNA is filed under the name Fidelibacterota bacterium. RNAcentral's name for it is "tRNA-Leu". It matches the Rfam family "tRNA". Rfam says of the family: Transfer RNA (tRNA) molecules are approximately 80 nucleotides in length. Their secondary structure includes four short double-helical elements and three loops (D, anti-codon, and T loops). The record is from RNAcentral. Lineage: Bacteria; Pseudomonadati; Fidelibacterota.